This 31-nucleotide non-coding RNA is filed under the name Homo sapiens (human). Lineage: Eukaryota; Metazoa; Chordata; Mammalia; Primates; Hominidae. The record is from RNAcentral.
CCCGAUGUGACAGUGAUUGACCAUUGGCAGC